Molecule: long non-coding RNA, 2046 nt
Organism: Helicoverpa armigera (cotton bollworm)
Lineage: Eukaryota; Metazoa; Arthropoda; Insecta; Lepidoptera; Noctuidae
Exons: 2
Source: RefSeq, a predicted model, not a curated record
UAAAAUAGGUGUAACAAUAUGGCUUAGAGCUAGGUACAAUUGUGGACCCUGUAGGGCACAGCAAAAUAAAAUUAAAAUUAAACUUACAACUAACAUAAUAAUUAAUAAAUCUAUAGAGAGAAAAAAAAUAUAUUUAAAAAUCCAACAAUUGACCUUAUUAUUAAACAUAAAAAAAAAAUUGUGUAGGAACAAGCAUAAGACUAGACAACUAAACUAUAAAACUAUAGGCUAUAAACAAUUAAGUAACAGGUAUUCACUAAAAAUACUAAACAACAAAAUACUGCAAGAUCGGAAAGUGUGAUGUGUUAUGUACUGUGUUGUGUGUAGACAAUAUUGUUAUCGUUCAUGUAUUCGUUUAUUGAGUAGUAGGCUUUGUUAGUAAGGAUGUUUUUGAGUGCGCGUAUGAAUUUAUUUUGGCUUGUUUCAUUUUUUAAAGAUUCUGGUAAUUUAUUGUAUAUUUUGAUAGACAUUACAUAAGGGCUAUUGGUGUGAAGUGUCAUGUGUGAAGAGGGAAGCAUUAACAUGUUUUUGUGUCUGACUGGACGAUCGUUGUGUUUAUUUCCGCGGGUUAUGAAAAAGUUUAUAUUAUUUCUUACAAAUUUACAUAUUUCCAGGAUAUAAAUAGAUGGUAGUGUUAAUAUUCGAUACUUAAUAUAAAUAGGUUUACAACUGUCGGUUUGCUCUAUAUUUUCUAUUAUUCGGAUUAAUUUCUUUUGGAGGAUGAAAAGGGUAUUGGCGUCGGUACUGUUUCCCCACAUAAUAAUGCCGUAGCUGAGCCAUGAGUAUGCGUAGGCGUAGUAUGUGGUGAUAGCAGGGGUGCGAUUCACUAAGGCAAAACAUCUUUACAACCAAGACAUCAUCGUUGUAACAUCAGAUGUAAAGUCGGCGGUAUUCAUUAGUUACAAUUGCGCGAUCGUGGCGCCUCAACGAUGUUGACGGCGUGACAUAGAACUAACAUUUGGUGCCAAAUGUAUGAAAAUCGGUAUUCAGCAACACGAAACAUCCUCGCCUGCAACGACAACCUCGCCUUCGCCCUCGAUUUUAUCUGUCAAACCGAAAAGCUUGUAAAUUGUGGAUGUUUUCUUGGAUGAAGGCGAUUAAAAUAUGGCAGUUCGUCUUUCCUGUAUGAUUUUUUGUUGGAAGAAACUAAACAUCAAGAUAAUUAAAUAAAUAAAAAGUCAGGCCUCCGUGAUACGUAAUAUGGAUUUACUAACUACUGAUAGAAACUAUAUUAUGGUUGACUGAAGAACAGAUUAGACAGUUGAAAGAAGAUUUCUCCUUUCCUAACAAAGGCGAAUCGUUAAGGAGGAAUUAGCAACCACACCAAUAUAUUACACUUAAACAAUACAAUAUAAAUCAUCAUACAGUACAGUGGAUAGGUGCCUAAAACUUACUGUCCAUCAACCUUUUGUAUGUAGGUACCUACUGUCCAUUUUUUGGUUAGUGGGAUUUAUGUACCAAAUAAUGCUAUGUGACAUUGCAAGAACAAUGGUCUCACGGGCAUCUGCCUCAAGGACUCAACAAUAUACAGUAGAUGCCAUCAACCAUCCAGAUAUUAUUGAUAAGUACAAGGUAAGAAGCAACUGUGACCCGGUUAACAAGCAAGCCGGACUCUAGCAGUGACUUGGACAGUGGACGUCAUGCUAGAAGUUAUUUAAAAAACAAUAAUAUGUGUGACACCUACUAACAAUACAUAUGUAUUUUACCUGUUACUGUUACAGCCUUUUUUAUUAACAUCCCACUGCUGGACACAGGCCUCCUCUCACAUGGAGAAGGUGAGCACCACGCUUGCUCAAUGCGGGUUGGUGAUUUCAGACUAUAUAGUCCAGGUUUCCUCAAGAUGUUCCCUUCACCUUUUUAUCAGCCAGUGGCGUCCAAGAUAUACUUAGAAAGUACAUAAAAACUUAGAAAAGUUGCAUUAUUUUACCUGUGUAUGUUAAAUAGUAUUUUAACAUUACACAAUAGUGUGCAGGUAUCGAAGUAAUUUUUAUAAAAAUACUUAACUUUUCUGUAAUCAUUAAUUAAUCAAACAAUAUUUUAAUUCAA